AUUGAACGCUGGCGGAAUGCCUUACACAUGCAAGUCGAACGGCAGCACGGGAGCAAUCCUGGUGGCGAGUGGCGAACGGGUGAGUAAUACAUCGGAACGUGCCCAAUCGUGGGGGAUAACGUAGCGAAAGCUACGCUAAUACCGCAUACGAUCUACGGAUGAAAGCGGGGGAUCGCAAGACCUCGCGCGAAUGGAGCGGCCGAUGGCAGAUUAGGUAGUUGGNGGGGUAAAGGCUCACCAAGCCUUCGAUCUGUAGCUGGUCUGAGA
RNAcentral lists this ribosomal RNA (267 nucleotides) under uncultured bacterium. Its description in RNAcentral is "partial 16S ribosomal RNA". It matches the Rfam family "Bacterial small subunit ribosomal RNA", at positions 30 to 297 of the family's 1533-position model. The record is from RNAcentral.